UCACGAAAGUGGGCCGUACUAGAAGUCGGUGUGCUAACUCGCAAGAGAGGCAGUCCCGCCCCAAGGUACAGCUCAUGAUUGGGGUGAAGUCGUAAACAAGGUACC
RNAcentral lists this ribosomal RNA (105 nucleotides) under uncultured bacterium. RNAcentral's name for it is "partial 16S ribosomal RNA". The record is from RNAcentral.